This 501-nucleotide ribosomal RNA is filed under the name uncultured bacterium. Its description in RNAcentral is "partial 16S ribosomal RNA". It matches the Rfam family "Bacterial small subunit ribosomal RNA", at positions 30 to 523 of the family's 1533-position model. The record is from RNAcentral.
AUUGAACGCUGGCGGCAUGCCUUACACAUGCAAGUCGAACGGCAGCACGGGUGCUUGCACCUGGUGGCGAGUGGCGAACGGGUGAGUAAUAUAUCGGAACGUACCUUAUUGUGGGGGAUAACGCAGCGAAAGCUGUGCUAAUACCGCAUAAUCCCUAAGGGGGAAAGCGGGGGACCGUAAGGCCUCGCGCAAUUAGAGCGGCCGAUACCUGAUUAGCUAGUUGGUGAGGAAAAGGCUCACCAAGGCAACGAUCAGUAGCUGGCCUGAGAGGACGAUGAGCCACACUGGGACUGAGACACGGCCCAGACUCCUACGGGAGGCAGCAGUGGGGAAUUUUGGACAAUGGGGGCAACCCUGAUCCAGCAAUGCCGCGUGAGUGAAGAAGGCCUUCGGGUUGUAAAGCUCUUUUGUCAGGGAAGAAACAGCAGCUCUAACACAGUAUGCGAAUGACGGUACCUGAAGAAUAAGCACCGGCUAACUACGUGCCAGCCGCCGCCGUAA